RNAcentral lists this long non-coding RNA (1198 nucleotides) under Suricata suricatta (meerkat). RNAcentral describes it as "lncRNA (ENSSSUG00005001451.1)". Lineage: Eukaryota; Metazoa; Chordata; Mammalia; Carnivora; Herpestidae. The record is from RNAcentral.
GUAACAGCAGCCACGUGCUGGCCUCGGCGAUGUCUGUGGAGGCCAGGGAGACACAUAUGCGUCCAGCACCCGGGGCACGGCCAGCCUGUCCUCCGGAGACCGUGCUCUGAAGUGGGGGAGGGUCAGCAGCCCACAGGAGCCCCUUCCCUGCCCGGGUGUGUGCCCUACACCUCACCCAAGGGCCCUUGUGGCCCCCUGACCGACGUAGGGAUCACAGCCCCACUUGCUGUGUCUGGAGGGUGAGGCUGGGGGAGGAUGACUAAGUGUCCAGGUGGCAGAGCCUGACCCCUUCCUGGCCCAACACCCACCCUGACCCGCGGGCCACACCGCUGUGCUGGCCCCUCCCCAUUCUCAACCGGCUGCCUCACAGGGAACUGCAAGGUGGUGGCCAGCGCUUUGGGGCAUUUCCAGGACGUGGUCCACUGGGCCCCCAGGGCUGCUGACACUUCCAAACUCAAGUGUGAGAAAAGUGCUGAGGAGUCUGCAGGCGGGCCCUGGAGACAGAACUCCAGCUGAAAGCCCCCCCCCCCCGAGGGGCUAGGAAGUACUGACGCCAGCCCUCAUGUGGCACAGAAGGCGGCCACAGGCCCACCGUGCUGUGUGGCCACGGGCAUCGGGACUGCAGCGCAGGGUGUGUGAGGCUGGCCACAGGCUUGUCCCCUGAGCCAGUGACAUCCCGAUGAAUUCCCACUCAUGAGAGCAAAGCACCCCAGGGAACCGGUGGUUAAAUAGCCCCACGGAAUCUUCUGGAACAGCAAACCCAGGAGAUGGCCUCAGUCAUCAGGCAUUCAUGUGCAGCGGUCCUCAAUGGUCUCAGGGCCAGCGAGUGCCAGAGAGAAGCACCUGCUGGGUCGCACUGCCCUCUGUCCUGACAGUGCAUGACAGCGAGCGCCCCGCCGACGCCCACGUUGGGAGGAAGUGAGGACACUGCGGCGGCGCUUGGAAGUGGCCAGGAUGCACUUCGGAGCAGCGCCGGUCAGACGGGCCAUCCCACGAGGGCGCAUCGGGCCCAAGUGCAGUGUGGGCCUCGGUGAAGGUGCACAGGGCGUGGUGGCCCUGCAGGAGGAGGGUCAGCCGUGACGUGCUCUCGAGAGAGGCCUGGGCGGAGGACAGAAACUCUGCACCCUGAGUGCAGAGGUCCCCAAACACUCAGCAUAGACUCAGGAGGUGCUCCACCUGGGGUCCUCCCCGGGUCCGU